Molecule: ribosomal RNA, 692 nt
Filed under: Arthrobacter sp. A23TB1
Lineage: Bacteria; Bacillati; Actinomycetota; Actinomycetes; Micrococcales; Micrococcaceae
Description: bacterial SSU rRNA
Rfam family: Bacterial small subunit ribosomal RNA
Source: RNAcentral
AACACGUGAGUAACCUGCCCUUGACUCUGGGAUAAGCCUGGGAAACUGGGUCUAAUACCGGAUAUGACUCCUCAUCGCAUGGUGGGGGGUGGAAAGCUUUUUGUGGUUUUGGAUGGACUCGCGGCCUAUCAGCUUGUUGGUGAGGUAAUGGCUCACCAAGGCGACGACGGGUAGCCGGCCUGAGAGGGUGACCGGCCACACUGGGACUGAGACACGGCCCAGACUCCUACGGGAGGCAGCAGUGGGGAAUAUUGCACAAUGGGCGAAAGCCUGAUGCAGCGACGCCGCGUGAGGGAUGACGGCCUUCGGGUUGUAAACCUCUUUCAGUAGGGAAGAAGCGAAAGUGACGGUACCUGCAGAAGAAGCGCCGGCUAACUACGUGCCAGCAGCCGCGGUAAUACGUAGGGCGCAAGCGUUAUCCGGAAUUAUUGGGCGUAAAGAGCUCGUAGGCGGUUUGUCGCGUCUGCCGUGAAAGUCCGGGGCUCAACUCCGGAUCUGCGGUGGGUACGGGCAGACUAGAGUGAUGUAGGGGAGACUGGAAUUCCUGGUGUAGCGGUGAAAUGCGCAGAUAUCAGGAGGAACACCGAUGGCGAAGGCAGGUCUCUGGGCAUUAACUGACGCUGAGGAGCGAAAGCAUGGGGAGCGAACAGGAUUAGAUACCCUGGUAGUCCAUGCCGUAAACGUUGGGCACU